AUUGAACGCUGGCGGCAUGCCUUACACAUGCAAGUCGAACGGUAACGGGCCUUCGGGUGCCGACGAGUGGCGAACGGGUGAGUAAUGCAUCGGAACGUACCUUUCAGUGGGGGGAUAACGUAGCGAAAGUUACGCUAAUACCGCAUAUUCUGUGAGCAGGAAAGCAGGGGAUCGCAAGACCUUGCGCUGAUUGAGCGGCCGAUGUCAGAUUAGCUAGUUGGUGAGGUAAAGGCUCACCAAGGCGACGAUCUGCAGCGGGUCUGAGAGGAUGAUCCGCCACACUGGAACUGAGACACGGUCCAGACUCCUACGGGAGGCAGCAGUGGGGAAUUUUGGACAAUGGGGGCAACCCUGAUCCAGCCAUGCCGCGUGAGUGAAGAAGGCCUUCGGGUUGUAAAGGCU
This 402-nucleotide ribosomal RNA is filed under the name uncultured bacterium. Its description in RNAcentral is "bacterial SSU rRNA". It matches the Rfam family "Bacterial small subunit ribosomal RNA", at positions 30 to 432 of the family's 1533-position model. The record is from RNAcentral.